UGAAAAUCAACAAUUAUUGUAUUUGAAUAAACUUUGAAAUUUUUGAACAUAUUGAUUUUGGAAAAUUAUGAUAAUAAGUAGGAUGUUUCGAAUAAUAAUAAACAAAAUAACUUUAAACCUUUAUGCUGCAAGAAAUGGAAUUUCUACAGUGACAUUAUCUAAAUGAUAUACUUUCAACGGUAACAUGUAUUGUUAAUUCUAUUUGAUAAAUAUUAACUCAUUGACAAAUUAAUUUAAGGUUUCAUCUUUCAUUUCUAAUAAGAUACAUCACUGAUACAAUCGCAGAUGAUGGUACUGCAUUACAUAUCUUUUGGUGUAGCAAUACUUCUGAUGGUGUGCUGUGUCAUAUAUCUGCCUUCGAUACCAAACACUGCCCCAAGCAAUACAGCAAGUAUUGACAGAUACAGCCUGAAAGUCGGUAUUGUCAAACUUGUGAAGAAUCCAUCGGUAUGGUGUAUAGCAGCAGUUUACGGCAUUCCUGUAGGAUUUUUCGCCAACUGGUCAUCAAUUUUAGAUGUUGUAUUGAGUUCGUACGGAAUUUCCCAGGUAACCUUGAUUGAGCAUCUGGUCUAGUAAAAUACUGAAGAUAGUUUCAAAGCGGGUUAUUGAUCAAAGUUUCUUCUGCGGAAUGUAUGUCAGAAAGCAUGGUUAAAUGCGGCAGUUAGAUGAAUCAUUUUAAUCCAUAUUUACGUUUACUUAUAAAAACGUUAAUUCAUUCAAAAGAGAAGCACUGCACUGUCCACUUUUUCCUCAGAUUUAUAGAGUAUUCAAAUGUAGUGAUGAAUUUAACUACAUUAUAAUUUUUGCAAAUAUAAAUAUGUGAUUUUGGUAAAAUUGUAUUCAAGUUGAAUUUAAUUACAUUUAUAACUUUUAUAUUCAAUAGGAAAAAAUCCUAUUGCGUGACAAUAUUUUACACUAAUCAGGCUGAUGCUGGCUAGAUGAAUUUCUAUGGUUCAAUAAGUGGCGCAGUGUGUGGAGUUCUCAUCGGAAGGUUGUUUCUAGAUUUUGUUGAUUGACACUGUGUCAUGUCUGUCAAAGAAAAAGGGGACAGUUUUGCAAAUAUUGAAAUAACAUACAUUUCUGUAUAAAAGCUCAUUGAAGUAAUUUUAGUAUCAUUUAUCAGCAAUUAUCAAAGUAAGAAUGAAAAAAAAAAAAAAAACUUAUUGCAUUAUACUCCUGUUGAUCAUAUUGCAUUAUACUCCUGUUGAUCACUUAUCGCUAGUUUAUCUUCUGUCAUUAAGUUUCAUUAACAGCCUUGUCACCAAGAUAAUAGGUCAACGUCAUGAUAGAUAUAACAAAACAAAAAAUCUAUGAUGGUUUCUUUAAAAGGUUUGUCGACUGCAUUCAAAAGAUAACGAAAGUAGUCAUCAUUGUGCUGUAUAUUUGUGCCGCGGUGGAUUUUGCAUUGUUCACAUGUAUGUGUGUAGACAUCCUUCCACAAUCCAAAGGAGGAUUUUACUCAACUGUUAUUAUCGGAGCCACAAUAGUGAACGCUUGCGUGCCACUUUUCCUUGAAAUAACGUGCGAGUCCUCGUAUCCUGUAGCUGAAGGAGUUACUGCAGGUUUCCUAGGAAUGGUAACAAAUAUUGGAGCGACGGUGUUUAUGUAGAACUUAUUCCUAACGUAGACACAGGAUGGGCAAACUGGGCUCUUGUCGGUGUUUAUAUCGCUGCUGUUCCACUCAUGGCUUUGUACAAAGCUGAAUAUAAAAGAGUUGACAUUGACAUUAUAAAAGAUGUAUCGGUAUCUUGAAAUGUUUACUAUGAAACAAAUAGUAUAUUG
Mercenaria mercenaria is the source of this 1782-nucleotide long non-coding RNA. RefSeq lists it as uncharacterized. The record is from RefSeq and is a predicted model, not a curated record. NCBI's taxonomy places the organism in Eukaryota, Metazoa, Mollusca, Bivalvia, Venerida, Veneridae. The transcript has 5 exons.